This 1927-nucleotide long non-coding RNA is filed under the name Homo sapiens (human). RNAcentral describes it as "long non-coding RNA NONHSAT152867.1". The record is from RNAcentral. Lineage: Eukaryota; Metazoa; Chordata; Mammalia; Primates; Hominidae.
GCUUGGCGAACUCCUUGAGGACAUGGGCUUUGUUUUCUGUUCCAUUUUACCCUCCACUGUGCCUUCGCAGGGCUUCCCUUUAUCCUUGUAGCUUUCCCAUUGAGUGUUUUCAAUGGGAAAUGUCUAACUGCUCUGUGGGUGUACACCACGGCCAGUUGCUAAUUUUGGAACACUUGUGAAUCCUGGGCCCAGAGUCAUGACCAAUACUGGUGAGUCAUACUCCCCAUACAGAGCUCCCUACACACUGCCUGUCAGAAAAAAAAAAAAAAAAAAAAAAAGCAAAACAGAAGUUGCCAUCUCAUCCUUUGCUCUAGUUGCCUCAUUUUACCUUCUGAAAUGAUGGAGGAAGUUCUGCUGAGGAUGGGGUCAGGGUAACAGCAGACUUCUGAAUAACUCUGCACCCCCAGAAACCUGCAAAGGACACAGGCCCUCUUGGUGGUCUCCUCCUGGAUGCCUUGCUUUCUCCUGGAAGAGUCCUCCCUUCCACCCCGGAUAUCACUGUGAACCUGAUGAAACUAAAGGGAUUUGUGCUUGCUGAGUAAGAGCUUCUACAAGGCACCGCCCCACUCUAUUGAGCAGUGAUCUUCAUUCACACCUUGACUACCCACUGCCCAUUUCCCCUUACAUGACUCUUCACCCCUGAGUACAUAUAUGUCAUGUACUGGCCUUCAAGAGUGAUCUUUCAUUUCAGCUUUCAUUUCUUCCAGGAUUCCCCAGGAUCAACCAUCUGAGCAGAUACCUUGGAAUGUCCCCAGAUUUCAGAGGUAAGUCACUAGUACUGUCCCACAGUAGUAGACAUCAUUUCUGCCCUGCCCCUGUGGUCCUAACCAUAUGCAGUGACAUCAAAAUCUGGUGUCAUAUCUCAUGGAAGACCCAUACCCCCAAAGCCCUUCAUCCCAUUCCCUUUAUCCAGUGCUCAUAAACCAUGUGAAUGACCUGGCCUGCCAGGUAAAGGCCUUGAGCCCUGCUCCUUUUUCAGCCACUCCCAAUCAAUCUGCCAUCAUCUCUUCCAGGAAGCUUCCUGCCUUCUCUCCCAAGCCAAGCUGGAUUAGGGACCCCUACAUUGAGCUCACCCUGUACUUAUCUCUAUCGUUAACCACUGUACUGGAAAGUCUGUCAACUUGGGCGUGCAAACAACCAUCCUAAGAGCCUUUCUUGCUCUGAUAGGGAGAAAAAAAGGCUUCGGGGGCUACCAGAGGAGAAGAGGCCAUCAGCACUAAUGAAGGCUGAAAAAAACCACAGCUGAAAGGGGUCCCGUUAUGCAGAAUGUGGGGACUGCCCCUGAGAUGUUUUUGUUUUUAAAACACAAUUGUGCCAGCUGAUCUCAGUACACAUUUCUAGAAAAAUCACAGCCUAUGACAUCACAGACCUUCCUUUCAGCCUCGGACCAGCAGCAACACACUCUGAAGUAGGUCUCAGAAGACAAAAAGCUGAAAUCAACUCAUGCUUCCUGCUACACAGAAUCCACUGAGAGGAAAAGGAAACUUCACCGAAACUUCAGAAAGCUACAGAAAUGACAUCCAUUUUCACAAUCCCAGAAGGAAAGAUGCAUCUGAAGGGAAUAAAAACAGAGCAAUGGAAGAGUAUUUGUUAAAAUAAAUGGCUUUGACAGGGCAUUUUCUCUAAAGGUCUCCUUUGCCUCAAAUAGUACUCCUGCCUUCAGUCCAUCUUGCAUGCCACCCAGCUGUGGGCAUCCUGGCAGUUGCUGCCAUGUCCUUGCCUAAAAGCCUCCACCCCCAACCAACCCACCCACCCCACAACUGGUCUCCCUUUCUCUGGCUUCUUGGAGCAAUAAGACCCCCUUCUCCCAGUGGGGGAUCUUUCUGAAAGGUAAACAUGAACCCACUCCUCUCCUGCUCAAAAAUAGUGGCCGGCUCUCGAUCUCCCCAAAGAUAGAAAUGCACACUUUGGCCGGAUGUGGAGGUUC